CCACGGGAGGCAGCAGUGAGGAAUAUUGGUCAAUGGCCGGAAGGCUGAACCAGCCAAGUCGCGUGAGGGACGACUGCCCUAUGGGUUGUAAACCUCUUUUAUCAGGGAAGAAUAAAUGCUACGUGUAGCAUGAUGCCUGUACCUUAUGAAUAAGCAUCGGCUAAAUCCGUGCCAGCAGCCGCGGUAAGACGUAGGAUGCGAGCGUUAUCCGGUUUUAUUGGUUUUAAAGGGUGCGUAGGCGGUUUUUUAAGUUUGUGGUUAAACGUCGGGGUGUAACCUUGAUUUGCCAUUAAUACUGUAGGACUCGAGUUCAGACGAGGUAGGCGGAAUAAGUGAAGUAGCGGUGAAAUGCUUAGAUAUAACUUAGAACUCCGAUAGCGAAGGCAGCUUACCAGACUGCGACUGACGCUGAAGCACGAGAGCGUGGGUAGCGAACAGGAUUAGAUACCCUAGUAGUC
This 458-nucleotide ribosomal RNA is filed under the name uncultured bacterium. RNAcentral describes it as "partial 16S ribosomal RNA". It matches the Rfam family "Bacterial small subunit ribosomal RNA", at positions 339 to 795 of the family's 1533-position model. The record is from RNAcentral.